AUUGAACGCUGGCGGUAUGCUUAACACAUGCAAGUCGAACGGUAACAGGCUUUCGGGCGCUGACGAGUGGCGGACGGGUGAGUAACGCGUAGGAAUCUGCCUCAUAGUGGGGGACAACGUGGGGAAACUCACGCUAAUACCGCAUACGCCCUACGGGGGAAAGCGGGGGAUCUUCGGACCUCGCGCUAUGAGAUGAGCCUGCGUUAGAUUAGCUAGUUGGUAGGGUAAAGGCCUACCAAGGCGACGAUCUAUAGCUGGUCUGAGAGGAUGAUCAGCCACACUGGAACUGACACACGGUCCAGACUCCUACGGGAGGCAG
This 319-nucleotide ribosomal RNA is filed under the name uncultured Pseudomonadota bacterium. RNAcentral's name for it is "bacterial SSU rRNA". It matches the Rfam family "Bacterial small subunit ribosomal RNA", at positions 30 to 351 of the family's 1533-position model. Lineage: Bacteria; Pseudomonadati; Pseudomonadota. The record is from RNAcentral.